Molecule: ribosomal RNA, 496 nt
Filed under: uncultured bacterium
Lineage: Bacteria
Description: partial 16S ribosomal RNA
Rfam family: Bacterial small subunit ribosomal RNA
Source: RNAcentral
GAUGAACGCUGGCGGCGUGCCUAAUACAUGCAAGUCGAGCGAACAGACGAGGAGCUUGCUCCUCUGACGUUAGCGGCGGACGGGUGAGUAACACGUGGAUAACCUACCUAUAAGACUGGGAUAACUUCGGGAAACCGGAGCUAAUACCGGAUAAUAUAUUGAACCGCAUGGUUCAAUAGUGAAAGACGGUUUUGCUGUCACUUAUAGAUGGAUCCGCGCCGCAUUAGCUAGUUGGUAAGGUAACGGCUUACCAAGGCAACGAUGCGUAGCCGACCUGAGAGGGUGACCGGCCACACUGGACCUGAGACACGGUCCAGCCUCCUACGGGAGGCAGCAGUAGGGAAUCUUCCGCAAGGGGCGAAAGCCUGCCGGAGAAACGCCGCGUGAGUGAUGAAGGUCUUCGGAUCGUAAACCUCUGUUAUUAGGGAAGACCAAAUGUGAAGUAACUAUGCACGUCUUGACGGUACCUAAUCAGAAAGCCACGGCUAACUACGUG